This 61-nucleotide transfer RNA is filed under the name Vermiophis taishanensis. RNAcentral describes it as "tRNA-Ser". The record is from RNAcentral. Lineage: Eukaryota; Metazoa; Arthropoda; Insecta; Diptera; Vermileonidae.
GAAAUAUAUAAAUAUAAAGCUGCUAACUUUUUAAUAAUGAUUAAUUACCAUUUAUAUUUCU